AACGAACGCUGGCGGCAUGCCUAACACAUGCAAGUCGAACGAGACCUUCGGGUCUAGUGGCGCACGGGUGCGUAACACGUGGGAAUCUGCCCUUUGCUUCGGAAUAACAGUUAGAAAUGACUGCUAAUACCGGAUGAUGUCGAAAGACCAAAGAUUUAUCGGCAAAGGAUAAGCCCGCGUAGGAUUAGGUAGUUGGUGGGGUAAAGGCCUACCAAGCCGACGAUCCUUAGCUGGUCUGAGAGGAUGAUCAGCCACACUGGGACUGAGACACGGCCCAGACUCCUACGGGAGGCAGCAGUGGGGAAUAUUGGACAAUGGGCGAAAGCCUGAACCAGCAAUGCCGCGUGAGUGAUGAAGGCCUUAGGGUUGUAAAGCUCUUUUACCAGGGAUGAUAAUGACAGUACCUGGAGAAUAAGCACCGGCUAACUCCGUG
Molecule: ribosomal RNA, 433 nt
Filed under: uncultured bacterium
Lineage: Bacteria
Description: partial 16S ribosomal RNA
Rfam family: Bacterial small subunit ribosomal RNA
Source: RNAcentral